GGACGAAGUGGAUGAUCCUAUGCUGCCGAGAAAAACCUCUAGCGAGCUAUGCGCCGCCCGUACCCCAAACCGACUCAGGUGAUCAGGUAGAGAAUACUAAGGCGAUCGAGUGAACCAUGGUUAAGGAACUCGGCAAAAUGCCCCCGUAACUUCGGGAGAAGGGGGGCCGGAUUUGUCAAUGCACUUGCUGCAAGAAGCAAUGAUGGCCGCAGAGACCAGGCCCAAGCGACUGUUUACUAAAAACACAGGUCCGUGCGAAGUUGUAAGACGAUGUAUACGGACUGACUCCUGCCCGGUGCUGGAAGGUUAAGGGGACGGGUUAGCACGCAAGUGCGAAGCUCAGAACUUAAGCCCCAGUAAACGGCGGUGGUAACUACAACCAUCCUAAGGUAGCGAAAUUCCUUGUCGGGUAAGUUCCGACCUGCACGAAUGGAGUAACGACUUGGGCGCUGUCUCAACCAUGGACUCGGCGAAAUUGCACUACGAGUAAAGAUGCUCGUUACGCGCGGCAGGACGGAAAGACCCCGGGACCUUUACUACAAUUUGGUAUUGGUGUUUGGUUCGGCUUGUGUAGGAUAGGUGGGAGACUUUGAAGCAGGGACGCCAGUUCUUGUGGAGUCAACGUUGAAAUACCACUCUGGUCGUACUAGAUGUCUAACCUAGGUCCGUUAUCCGGAUCAGGGACAGUGCCUGAUGGGUAGUUUAACUGGGGCGGUUGCCUCCUAAAAUGUAACGGAGGCGCUCAAAGGUUCCCUCAGCCUGGUUGGCAAUCAGGUUUCGAGUGUAAGUGCACAAGGGAGCUUGACUGUGAGAGUGACAACUCGAGCAGGGACGAAAGUCGGAACUAGUGAUCCGGCGCUGGCAUGUGGAAGCGGCGUCGCUCAACGGAUAAAAGGUACCCCGGGGAUAACAGGCUGAUCUUCCCCAAGAGUCCAUAUCGACGGGAUGGUUUGGCACCUCGAUGUCGGCUCGUCGCAUCCUGGGGCUGGAGUAGGUCCCAAGGGUUGGGCUGUUCGCCCAUUAAAGCGGCACGCGAGCUGGGUUUAGAACGUCGUGAGACAGUUCGGUCCCUAUCCGCCGCGCGCGCAGGAAACUUGAGAAACGCUGUCCCUAGUACGAGAGGACCGGGAUGGACGAACCUCUGGUGUGCCAGUUGUUCUGCCAAGAGCACGGCUGGUUAGCUACGUUCGGAAGUGAUAACCGCUGAAAGCAUCUAAGCGGGAAGCACGUUUCAAGAUGAGGUUUCCCACCGGGUUAACCGGGUAAGGCCCCCAGUAGAACACUGGGUUGAUAGGCCGGAGGUGUACAGCAGUAAUGCCCAGCCGACCGGUACUAAUAGGCCGAGGGCUUGUCCAA
This 1356-nucleotide ribosomal RNA is filed under the name metagenome. RNAcentral describes it as "bacterial LSU rRNA". It matches the Rfam family "Bacterial large subunit ribosomal RNA", at positions 1583 to 2925 of the family's 2925-position model. The record is from RNAcentral.